GGGUCAGUAGGUUGGUCGUGCCACCGGUACGUACUGGUCUCACUGAUUCCUCCUUCCUGAAGAACCGUAAUGCCAUUAAUUUGGUGCUGCGGGGAAACAGGACUGUUACUUUGAAAAAAUUAGAGUGUUUAAAGCAGGCUAACGCUUGAAUACAUUAGCAUGGAAUAAUGAAAUAGGACGAUCGAUCCUAUUUUGUUGGUUUCCAGGAUUGACGUA
Molecule: ribosomal RNA, 216 nt
Filed under: Glomeromycotina sp.
Lineage: Eukaryota; Fungi; Glomeromycota
Description: partial small subunit ribosomal RNA
Rfam family: Eukaryotic small subunit ribosomal RNA (bases 44-216)
Source: RNAcentral